AUACCUUGCCUUGACAUCCCCCUGCCUGUAGUUUUCUCUCUUCCAUUUGCAUCCCGCCUUGGGUUGGGGAGGAGGACGCUGCUUGCUCGGAGAGCUCGAGGCACCUCCAUGAGGGAGGGGGGAGGCGGCUGAUUUUACCUUCACGACAACCCUGUGAGGCUAUCUCAGAAGGUUUUAAGGAAAGUGGACCAAAAGCUCUCCAGGAUCAAGACCCUUCUAAUCCGGGAUCUAGUUUACAAUCAUAGUCUGUUUCUGUGACAAAAUUGUGGAAUAUGAAGGUGAUGCACCCUCUCUUAAUUGUUUAUCCUACCUUAAUUGGGAGG
This 323-nucleotide long non-coding RNA is filed under the name Laticauda laticaudata (blue-ringed sea krait). Its description in RNAcentral is "lncRNA (ENSLLTG00000013617.1)". Lineage: Eukaryota; Metazoa; Chordata; Lepidosauria; Squamata; Elapidae. The record is from RNAcentral.